UUAGCUCCCACAAGGGUUCACAGCGUCGGGGAGGUUGGGCGCCUCGAUGUCGGCACGGCGAAUCCUGGGGCUGAAGUGGGUCCCAAGGGUUGGGAUGUUCGCCCAUUAAAGCGGCAAGCGAGCUGGGUUCAGAACGUCGUGAGACAGUUCGGUCCCUAUCCGUCGUGGGCGUAGGAAAAUUGCGAGGAGCUGUCCUUAGUACGUGAGGACCGGCAUGGACUCACCGCUGGUGUACCAGCUGGUCCGCCAGGAGCAUCGAUGGGUACCUAUGUGCGGAAGGGAUAAGCACUGAUAGAAACAAAGUGCGAAGCCCCCCUCCACAAGAUAUUUCCUUUACGUACGCAGGAAGACACCCCAGAGACGAUGAGGUAGCUAGGCUGAGAGUGGAAACGCAG
Molecule: ribosomal RNA, 395 nt
Filed under: Lactobacillus crispatus
Lineage: Bacteria; Bacillati; Bacillota; Bacilli; Lactobacillales; Lactobacillaceae
Description: bacterial LSU rRNA
Rfam family: Bacterial large subunit ribosomal RNA
Source: RNAcentral